RNAcentral lists this ribosomal RNA (253 nucleotides) under uncultured bacterium. Its description in RNAcentral is "partial 16S ribosomal RNA". It matches the Rfam family "Bacterial small subunit ribosomal RNA", at positions 524 to 776 of the family's 1533-position model. The record is from RNAcentral.
UACAGAGGGUGCGAUCGUUAAUCGGAAUUACUGGGCGUAAAGCGUGCGUAGACGGUUUCGUAAGUCGGGUGUGAAAUCCCCGGGCUCAACCUGGGCAUUGCAUUCGAAACUGCGAGGCUAGGGUACGGAAGAGGGAAGCGGAAUUUCUGGUGUAGCGGUGAAAUGCGUAGAUAUCGGGAGGAACAUCAGUGGCGAAGGCGGCCCUCUGGUCCAGUACUGACACUCAAGUGCGAAAGCGUGGGGAGCAAACAGG